UUGCGAUCCGCUAACCGGUCAAGCCGUGUCGCGGAAGGUUGAUGAACCCGCUGAACUCCGGCAGACCCGGAGAAGGUGAGCG
Molecule: non-coding RNA, 82 nt
Filed under: Ralstonia solanacearum UW551
Lineage: Bacteria; Pseudomonadati; Pseudomonadota; Betaproteobacteria; Burkholderiales; Burkholderiaceae
Description: sucA.2008-01-16 RNA
Rfam family: SucA RNA motif
Source: RNAcentral